UGGGGAAUAUUGCACAAUGGGCGAAAGCCUGAUGCAGCGACGCCGCGUGAGGGAUGACGGCCUUCGGGUUGUAAACCUCUUUCAGCAGGGACGAAGCGCAAGUGACGGUACCUGCAGAAGAAGCACCGGCUAACUACGUGCCAGCAGCCGCGGUAAUACGUAGGGUGCAAGCGUUGUCCGGAAUUACUGGGCGUAAAGAGUUCGUAGGCGGUUUGUCGCGUCGUUUGUGAAAACCAGCAGCUCAACUGCUGGCUUGCAGGCGAUACGGGCAGACUUGAGUACUGCAGGGGAGACUGGAAUUCCUGGUGUAGCGGUGAAAUGCGCAGAUAUCAGGAGGUACACCGGUGGCGAAGGCGGGUCUCUGGGCAGUAACUGACGCUGAGGAACGAAAGCGUGGGUAGCGAACAGG
Molecule: ribosomal RNA, 409 nt
Filed under: Bacillota bacterium
Lineage: Bacteria; Bacillati; Bacillota
Description: Firmicutes bacterium partial 16S ribosomal RNA
Rfam family: Bacterial small subunit ribosomal RNA
Source: RNAcentral